Molecule: ribosomal RNA, 3006 nt
Filed under: Salmonella enterica subsp. enterica serovar Thompson
Lineage: Bacteria; Pseudomonadati; Pseudomonadota; Gammaproteobacteria; Enterobacterales; Enterobacteriaceae
Also listed under: 1 other name
Description: bacterial LSU rRNA
Rfam family: Bacterial large subunit ribosomal RNA
Source: RNAcentral
UUAAGCGACUAAGCGUACACGGUGGAUGCCCUGGCAGUCAGAGGCGAUGAAGGGCGUGCUAAUCUGCGAUAAGCGCCGGUAAGGUGAUAUGAACCGUUAUAACCGGCGAUACCCGAAUGGGGAAACCCAGUGUGAUUCGUCACACUAUCAUUAACUGAAUCCAUAGGUUAAUGAGGCGAACCGGGGGAACUGAAACAUCUAAGUACCCCGAGGAAAAGAAAUCAACCGAGAUUCCCCCAGUAGCGGCGAGCGAACGGGGAGGAGCCCAGAGCCUGAAUCAGCAUGUGUGUUAGUGGAAGCGUCUGGAAAGGCGCGCGAUACAGGGUGACAGCCCCGUACACAAAAGCGCAUGUGCUGUGAGCUCGAUGAGUAGGGCGGGACACGUGGUAUCCUGUCUGAAUAUGGGGGGACCAUCCUCCAAGGCUAAAUACUCCUGACUGACCGAUAGUGAACCAGUACCGUGAGGGAAAGGCGAAAAGAACCCCGGCGAGGGGAGUGAAAAAGAACCUGAAACCGUGUACGUACAAGCAGUGGGAGCCCCACCACUAAGCCAGUGGUGAACUCCACAUACGCAUCCUUUGCUGAAGGCAAUGGUUAACGGAGCGAAAGCGACGUUCAACCGCAAAAGAAGCAGAGGGGGCUUAGUGGUGGGGUGACUGCGUACCUUUUGUAUAAUGGGUCAGCGACUUAUAUUCUGUAGCAAGGUUAACCGAAUAGGGGAGCCGUAGGGAAACCGAGUCUUAACCGGGCGUUAAGUUGCAGGGUAUAGACCCGAAACCCGGUGAUCUAGCCAUGGGCAGGUUGAAGGUUGGGUAACACUAACUGGAGGACCGAACCGACUAAUGUUGAAAAAUUAGCGGAUGACCUGUGGCUGGGGGUGAAAGGCCAAUCAAACCGGGAGAUAGCUGGUUCUCCCCGAAAGCUAUUUAGGUAGCGCCUCGUGAAUUCAUCUCCGGGGGUAGAGCACUGUUUCGGCUAGGGGGCCAUCCCGGCUUACCAACCCGAUGCAAACUGCGAAUACCGGAGAAUGUUAUCACGGGAGACACACGGCGGGUGCUAACGUCCGUCGUGAAGAGGGAAACAACCCAGACCGCCAGCUAAGGUCCCAAAGUCAUGGUUAAGUGGGAAACGAUGUGGGAAGGCCCAGACAGCCAGGAUGUUGGCUUAGAAGCAGCCAUCAUUUAAAGAAAGCGUAAUAGCUCACUGGUCGAGUCGGCCUGCGCGGAAGAUGUAACGGGGCUAAACCAUGCACCGAAGCUGCGGCAGCGACACUCAGGUGUUGUUGGGUAGGGGAGCGUUCUGUAAGCCUGUGAAGGUGGCCUGUGAGGGUUGCUGGAGGUAUCAGAAGUGCGAAUGCUGACAUAAGUAACGAUAAAGCGGGUGAAAAGCCCGCUCGCCGGAAGACCAAGGGUUCCUGUCCAACGUUAAUCGGGGCAGGGUGAGUCGACCCCUAAGGCGAGGCCGAAAGGCGUAGUCGAUGGGAAACAGGUUAAUAUUCCUGUACUUGGUGUUACUGCGAAGGGGGGACGGAGAAGGCUAUGUUGGCCGGGCGACGGUUGUCCCGGUUUAAGCGUGUAGGUGUGUGUUCCAGGUAAAUCCGGUUCACUUUAACACUGAGGCGUGACGACGAGGCACUACGGUGCUGAAGCAACAAAUGCCCUGCUUCCAGGAAAAGCCUCUAAGCAUCAGGUAACAUCAAAUCGUACCCCAAACCGACACAGGUGGUCAGGUAGAGAAUACCAAGGCGCUUGAGAGAACUCGGGUGAAGGAACUAGGCAAAAUGGUGCCGUAACUUCGGGAGAAGGCACGCUGACACGUAGGUGAAGUGAUUUACUCAUGGAGCUGAAGUCAGUCGAAGAUACCAGCUGGCUGCAACUGUUUAUUAAAAACACAGCACUGUGCAAACACGAAAGUGGACGUAUACGGUGUGACGCCUGCCCGGUGCCGGAAGGUUAAUUGAUGGGGUCAGCGCAAGCGAAGCUCCUGAUCGAAGCCCCGGUAAACGGCGGCCGUAACUAUAACGGUCCUAAGGUAGCGAAAUUCCUUGUCGGGUAAGUUCCGACCUGCACGAAUGGCGUAAUGAUGGCCAGGCUGUCUCCACCCGAGACUCAGUGAAAUUGAACUCGCUGUGAAGAUGCAGUGUACCCGCGGCAAGACGGAAAGACCCCGUGAACCUUUACUAUAGCUUGACACUGAACAUUGAGCCUUGAUGUGUAGGAUAGGUGGGAGGCUUUGAAGCGUGGACGCCAGUCUGCGUGGAGCCGACCUUGAAAUACCACCCUUUAAUGUUUGAUGUUCUAACGUGGACCCGUAAUCCGGGUUGCGGACAGUGUCUGGUGGGUAGUUUGACUGGGGCGGUCUCCUCCUAAAGAGUAACGGAGGAGCACGAAGGUUGGCUAAUCCUGGUCGGACAUCAGGAGGUUAGUGCAAUGGCAUAAGCCAGCUUGACUGCGAGCGUGACGGCGCGAGCAGGUGCGAAAGCAGGUCAUAGUGAUCCGGUGGUUCUGAAUGGAAGGGCCAUCGCUCAACGGAUAAAAGGUACUCCGGGGAUAACAGGCUGAUACCGCCCAAGAGUUCAUAUCGACGGCGGUGUUUGGCACCUCGAUGUCGGCUCAUCACAUCCUGGGGCUGAAGUAGGUCCCAAGGGUAUGGCUGUUCGCCAUUUAAAGUGGUACGCGAGCUGGGUUUAGAACGUCGUGAGACAGUUCGGUCCCUAUCUGCCGUGGGCGCUGGAGAACUGAGGGGGGCUGCUCCUAGUACGAGAGGACCGGAGUGGACGCAUCACUGGUGUUCGGGUUGUCAUGCCAAUGGCACUGCCCGGUAGCUAAAUGCGGAAGAGAUAAGUGCUGAAAGCAUCUAAGCACGAAACUUGCCCCGAGAUGAGUUCUCCCUGAGACUUAGAGUCUCCUGAAGGAACGUUGAAGACGACGACGUUGAUAGGCCGGGUGUGUAAGCGCAGCGAUGCGUUGAGCUAACCGGUACUAAUGAACCGUGAGGCUUAACCUU